UCCAAAUGCCAGAUUCAAGCCCUAAGAGAAAGAUUCCAGGGCAGUGAGGCAAGUCUUCAGCCAGCACUCCAUGUCCAGGGCUUGGCAACCUCUCCACAGCAGUAAAGGCAAACAAGGUUGAUCAAUAUGGAUUGGUGUUGAUACACCUUGAGGUCAUAAUGUGGAGUGAAAAAUACAAGAUGCACUGCAAUAGCAUCCAUGCAAACCUUUUAACCAGGCGGCUGGGAAGUCUGGACGGCGCCCAUACCAAAGGGAGGACGUCUGCCUGGAAGCAUGUGUGUAUGAUCCAAUACAAGAUACAACACUGCAUUUAGUCUUCACGUCUCCUUAGUCUCCUGGUUUCUCAGCUAUUCCUUGUAUUCUGUGACCUUGAGAAUUUUGGAGAGCACAGGUCAAAUAUUUUGCGGAGUGCCCCUCAAUUUGACUUUCUUGAUGUUUUCUCAUGAUUAGGCUGGGGUUGUGGGUUAAUGGGAGGACCACGGAGGUGAAGUACCCCCUCACUGCACCACAGCAGAGAGUGUCACGUCAACGUCAACAGGACCUACCACGUGGUUAUGACUGGUUUCUCCACUGUGGAGUUACUGUGUCCCCAUCCUACAUGCUAUUCUUUGGCAGUGUGUCACAGGCCAGCCUACA
This 636-nucleotide long non-coding RNA is filed under the name Homo sapiens (human). Its description in RNAcentral is "HSALNT0366304". The record is from RNAcentral. Lineage: Eukaryota; Metazoa; Chordata; Mammalia; Primates; Hominidae.